Molecule: long non-coding RNA, 2323 nt
Organism: Acanthochromis polyacanthus (spiny chromis)
Lineage: Eukaryota; Metazoa; Chordata; Actinopteri; Pomacentridae
Exons: 5
Source: RefSeq, a predicted model, not a curated record
GAAAAAAAAAGUGGGAUGCUUUCGUCUUCUGGAAGCAGCAGCGAUCCUUGUUAGUUGCAACCUGUGCCACAGCGCUACAGCCAUGACAGUAGGCGUCUUUGUGUUACCAUGGCGAUGACGUCUUCCGUUUUCCGGUGAGGCGACAGGGCGUCCCAUUCCUGACGAUCGUAUUUAUACCCUCCCCCUUCAAUAAUAGGUGCCCUCCACAGCUGUGAGUGUGACUUCUUUUGGAGUGACACUCGGUAGUGGAGGGGGAGUGUGUAGGGGGGGUUUGGGAUUCAGCCAAUAAUCUAAUGGAAUAUAUCCAGCUCUUUCCAUGUGCAGCGCCAUCUUGGCUUCUAUGUUGACAAAGAUGCAGCCACCUUAUUGGUGGAGCACGCUCACGUCCCGCACUGUGCAACCUCUUCCUGGCAAAAUAUUAUUCUGCUCAGAGAAAAGUAGUCCGUGAUAAAACCAGGCGUAAACUAACCGUGACGUCACCCGUUGGUUUCAGCACCGAGAAAAUGAAGCCCGGAUUUUGCUACUUCCUGGUCGCCGUUUUGGAUUUUUUGGAGCCAGUGACGUAAAAAGCGUCAUCAAACAGACUGGACCGGAGAGCAACUAGGGGCAGGAUUGGCUGAGGACUCUCUUAUCCCGCCCACAUUUUACCGCAGAGGCUUCUGUUGCUGUGUAUCAAGUAUAGCCACGCCCCCUGGCUCCGCCAACUUUAACGAUUUAUUUAAAAUUCAGUAUUGAUUUAUUUUAAGAUCGGCCACCUGAUCUCUCAUUUUGACCAUGAAAACUAACGGGAAAAAAAUCCUGAGCUGUAGAACAUCAGUCUAUCAAAUUUUAUUUUUUCCAAAAAUGAAUUGGGGUCUAUGGAGAAAAAGCUUUUUGGAGCCAACCCUAGCGGACGGCGUGAUAUUGCAAGUUUUUGACACUUCCGGGUUGGCUUCAAUUCUGGAGCCAGAUGCUACGUCCAUCUUUAUAUACAGUCUAUGGAUAAAACUUAUCGCCUUUGCCACGAUAUCAACGACAAAAAUAACUGGUAGCUCUGUAAGGCCCCCGCUUUGUUAAGCUGCUGUUUUUAUGUAGACUGAUGUCAGGGAAUGUUUGACUUUGCAUCCAAUCAUAAAUGGAAGCCAUUGUGUGUAAAGCUUUGAGGUAAAGGUUAAUGAGCUGUUCAUUCUUUUUUCAUGGUUUCUGCAGAGUCGUCUAGCUUUUUGUUUUUGUUGUUCCUUUUUCUUCAACUUUUCUCUACAAAUGUUCAUUAUUUAUGUUAACAUGUGCUGUCCUUGCUUUGUCCAAAGUCCUGAUGAUUAAGAGGAUCACCUACAGGCCAGAUUUGUAAAGCAGUUUUAUUUUUGGAGGCCAAGAGCAACCCAACUCUGCAGAUUUGUUUGAACAACCGGAAACAUCAGGAGAUCUUUCAAAAUCAUGGCAGCCUUCACCAGUUCAUUGACUCAGAUAUCCUGCAAUUCACCAUCCAGUCCAAAAACUAUUUUGACCCCCCCCCCCCCCCCCCCCUCUGCAUUCCUCUACACCGGGUAUAAUUUAUAUGUUUAUUAUAUUCAAAUUAUUCCCCUGGUUAUUAGAUCAUUUAAUGCCGUUUAAUGGCCAAAAAUAACAUUGUUCUCCACUAAGUAUUAAACCUGUGUUGGUGAAACAAUGAUUAGCAGCAGGAGAGGACAAAACACCUAAAUGCAAUGCUGAAUAGAAUCAUUUUUGUAUGUGUCUCUCUCCUAGCAGAGCUCCUAACACCCCAGUAGUAUCCUGGAGGGCCUGUGAUAGACGGAGCAGUCCUGUGAUGACCCCAAAGGACCCCACAGGAGACUCCUAGACCUCAGACUGGAGGUCCCCCCACCACCACCCCCGUGGUUCCCAAGGACAAACUUAACACCCCCCAAGACAACAUGGUUGCUAUGUCCACAUGCAGAGUACGGUGCAGUUGUGACUGUGAUCAUGCAACUAUGACCUCUGACCUCCGUGAAGGCCAGAAGCGGGCCCGAGAGCCCACAAGACCCAGGCGAGCCGGCAGUGAUCCCAGAGCAGAGAUCUGAGCCACCAAACCACGAGGACGACCACGGACCGGCCCGGAAGGGGGCAGAGGGAGAACCCGGCCAGGACCUCCAGCGCCCAGCAGGGCCGGGCCCCAGGCGACCAAGAUCGGCGGCCGCCGACCUUGGGGGAUGCACAGGACCCCGGGCCCCAGGCAGCCAACAGGCAACCCCCGCCCCCCCAGGCAGAGGGUCAACAUCGCCAGGGGAACCAGCCACCCCAGACGGCCACCCGGCAUGGGCCGGCGCCCCCGCCACAGCAAAGGAUCCAGGGCACCCCACCCCCC